GUAUUCAUUUAUUUUAAAAGGCUUUUGACGGCGCAUUUAAAGUUGACAUUCAAAGACAUGCAUUAGGGGUAUAUAUGAAAACAUAGACUAGGGGGAAUAAUACAAGGAAAGCGCGCACUAAUGCCACAUUCCUCAAACCAAGCUAAUGAAAGCUUGAAAGUGUUCCCAAAAGUCUACAAUAAGUGCACAGGUGGUUUGAUUAAAAUGAGAGCAAGCGUGCACAUGCCCCAAAGGGCCAGCGACAACUCACUUCAAUUCAAAUUCAAUAAUGAUCCUUCCGCAGGUUCACCUACGGAAA
Molecule: unclassified non-coding RNA, 298 nt
Filed under: uncultured fungus
Lineage: Eukaryota; Fungi
Description: sequence contains ITS1
Source: RNAcentral